AGUGAACGCUGGCGGUAGGCCUAACACAUGCAAGUCGAACGGCAGCACAGUAAGAGCUUGCUCUUACGGGUGGCGAGUGGCGGACGGGUGAGGAAUACAUCGGAAUCUACUUUUUCGUGGGGGAUAACGUAGGGAAACUUACGCUAAUACCGCAUACGACCUACGGGUGAAAGCAGGGGAUCUUCGGACCUUGCGCGAUUGAAUGAGCCGAUGUCGGAUUAGCUAGUUGGCGGGGUAAAGGCCCACCAAGGCGACGAUCAGUAGCUGGUCUGAGAGGAUGAUCAGCCACACUGGAACUGAGACACGGUCCAGACUCCUACGGGAGGCAGCAGUGGGGAAUAUUGGACAAUGGGCGCAAGCCUGAUCCAGCCAUACCGCGUGGGUGAAGAAGGCCUGCGGGUGGUAAAGCCCUUUUGUUGGGGAAGAAAAGAAGCAGGUUAAUACCCCGCUGUCUGACGGUACCCAAAGAAUAAGCACCGGCUAACUUCGUG
RNAcentral lists this ribosomal RNA (491 nucleotides) under uncultured bacterium. RNAcentral describes it as "partial 16S ribosomal RNA". It matches the Rfam family "Bacterial small subunit ribosomal RNA", at positions 29 to 507 of the family's 1533-position model. The record is from RNAcentral.